GGGGCUGUGGCUCAGUAGUAGAACGUCUGCUUUGCAUCCAGGAGGUCUCCAGUUCAAUCCCUGGCAGCUCCA
This 72-nucleotide transfer RNA is filed under the name Sphaerodactylus townsendi. RNAcentral describes it as "tRNA-Ala". It matches the Rfam family "tRNA". Rfam says of the family: Transfer RNA (tRNA) molecules are approximately 80 nucleotides in length. Their secondary structure includes four short double-helical elements and three loops (D, anti-codon, and T loops). The record is from RNAcentral. Lineage: Eukaryota; Metazoa; Chordata; Lepidosauria; Squamata; Sphaerodactylidae.